GGCCUCAAUGUCCCCUCAAUGUCCCCUCAGUGGUGGCCUCAAUGUCCCCUCAGUGGUGGCCUCGAUGUCCCCUCAAUGUCCCCUCUUUGGUGGCCUCAAUGUCCCCUUUGUGGUCCCAGUGGUGGCCUCAGUGUCCCCAGGUGAUCCCAGCCAGGGCCACCCCCCAGGUGUCCCCCAGUCCCCUCCCGGUGUCCCCAGUUUGUCCCUGUCCCUCUUUGCACUUUAUGCUCAGAUGUCCCCUGGCUCUGUCCCCGUGUGCCCAGGGUGGCAGUGAGGGGACAAUGAGGGGACAGCAGGGCCACCCCUGUGCCCUUUGUCCCUUUGUCCUUGUCCCUUCUGGGCCCUCGGUGUCCCCACCCUGUCCAGGGGACACCCAGGGGUGCUGCCACCCGACUGGGGACACCCCAAAGUGGUGGCACCUGAGAAUUUGGGGACACCCCGACUUGGGGACACCCAGAAUUGUCCCCUCGGGCACGGGGGGUGGAGGGACCCGGUCCCGUAUGAAGCCCCUGGGGACACCUUGGGGACAGUCCUGGGACCACCUUGGGGACAUUCCCAGGGACACCUCAGGGACAUUCUGGGGACAUUCCCGGUGCUCCAGAGCCUCUGGACUUGGUGACAUUGGUGUCCCCAGGGUGGUGACAGAGCCUGCAGGGUCCUUGCCCUGUCCCCACCCCUGGGGACGCCUUGGGGACACUCCCAGGGACACUCCCAAGGCCACCUUGGGGACACCUC
This is a long non-coding RNA of Junco hyemalis (dark-eyed junco), 735 nucleotides long. The record is from Ensembl. NCBI's taxonomy places the organism in Eukaryota, Metazoa, Chordata, Aves, Passeriformes, Passerellidae.